GCCGUUGUGUCCGAUUGGUUAGGUGCUGGCCUGCAAAGCCGGUUAGUCCGGUUCGAUUCCGGAGGGCGGCUCCA
This 74-nucleotide transfer RNA is filed under the name Mycobacteroides abscessus subsp. massiliense. Its description in RNAcentral is "tRNA-Cys(gca)". It matches the Rfam family "tRNA". From Rfam's summary of the family: Transfer RNA (tRNA) molecules are approximately 80 nucleotides in length. Their secondary structure includes four short double-helical elements and three loops (D, anti-codon, and T loops). The record is from RNAcentral. Lineage: Bacteria; Bacillati; Actinomycetota; Actinomycetes; Mycobacteriales; Mycobacteriaceae.